CAAAAGCUUAGUCCCAACUUUGCUAUCGAUUCUGGCUAAAUUUACACAUGCAAGUAUCCGCACCCCUGUGAGGAUGCCCUUCAUUCUUCUGACGAAGAGUUAGGAGCGGGCAUCAGGCACACAACUGUUAGCCGACGACGCCUUGUUAAGCCACACCCCCAAGGGAACUCAGCAGUGAUAAACCUUAAGCUAUAAGUGAAAACUUGACUUAGUUAGCGCCAAGAGAGCCGGUAAAUUUCGUGCCAGCCACCGCGGUUAUACGGAAGGCUCAAGUUGAUAGCCCCCGGCGUAAAGUGUGGUCAAGGAAACCCUUUAAAACUAAAGUCAAACGCCCUCACUGCAGUCAAACGCCCCCGAGGGUUAGAAGCCCCACCACGAAAGUGACUUUACAUAACCUGAACCCACGAGAGCUAGGGAACAAACUGGGAUUCGAUACCCCACUAUGCCUAGCCGUAAACAAAGAUAGAACCCCACACAUCUAUCCGCCCGAAUACUACGAGCGCAAGCUUAAAACUCAAGGGACUUGGCGGCGCUUUAAAACCAUCUAGAGGAGCCUGUUCUGGAACCGAUUCCCCCCGUUCAACCUCACCCUCUCUUGCUCCUUCCCGUCUAUAUACCGCCGUCGUCAGCUCACCCUUUGAAGGACAAACAGUAAGCGAAACUGGUAAUACCUAAAACGUCAGGUCGAGGUGUAACGUAUGAGAGGGAAAGAAAUGGGCUACAUUUGCUUACUCAAGUGAGCACCUGGACCAUAACUGAAAAUGUUUGGUAAAGCAAGGAUUUAGCAGUAAGCGUAAGAGUAGAGCGCUACGCUGAAACCGGCACUGAAGCGAGUACAUACCGCCCGUCACUCUCCCCAAUGGCCCCAUCAAUAUAAUUAAUACGCAAUAAGCCUAUAAGGGGAGGCAAGUCGUAACAUGGUAAGUGUACCGGAAGGUGCACUUGGGCAAACAUA
This 955-nucleotide non-coding RNA is filed under the name Dactyloptena orientalis (oriental flying gurnard). Its description in RNAcentral is "12S ribosomal RNA". It matches the Rfam family "Bacterial small subunit ribosomal RNA". Lineage: Eukaryota; Metazoa; Chordata; Actinopteri; Syngnathiformes; Dactylopteridae. The record is from RNAcentral.